RNAcentral lists this ribosomal RNA (378 nucleotides) under uncultured bacterium. RNAcentral's name for it is "partial 16S ribosomal RNA". It matches the Rfam family "Bacterial small subunit ribosomal RNA", at positions 338 to 733 of the family's 1533-position model. The record is from RNAcentral.
CCUACGGGAGGCAGCAGUAGGGAAUAUUGCACAAUGGGGGAAACCCUGAAGCAGCGACGCCGCGUGAGGGAAGAAGGAUUUCGGAAUGUAAAGCUCUAUCAGCAGAGAAGAAAAUGACGGUACCUAACGAAUAAGCACCGGCUAACUACGUGCCAGCAGCCGCGGUAAUACGGAGGGGGCGAGCGUUAUCCGGAUUUACUGGGUGUAAAGGGAGCGUAGGCGGCAAGCCAAGUCAGAAGUGAAAUCCCAGGGCUCAACCCUGGGACUGCUUUUGAAACUGCCGGGCUGGAGUGCAGGAGAGGUAAGCGGAAUUCGUGGUGUAGCGGUGAAAUGCGUAGAUAUUAGGAGGAACUCCAGUGGCGAAGGCGGCUUACUGGA